Alligator mississippiensis (American alligator) is the source of this 1124-nucleotide long non-coding RNA. RefSeq lists it as uncharacterized. The transcript has 3 exons. NCBI's taxonomy places the organism in Eukaryota, Metazoa, Chordata, Crocodylia, Alligatoridae. The record is from RefSeq and is a predicted model, not a curated record.
GUUCACUGAAAUCAGCUUUCCUAACGUCUAGUACUUUCACCCUACUAGUUACAGGCACAAACAUUUUGGCCCUGCUCCGUAGCUACUAUUUUCAUUUAUAGCAGUGCCUGGCUACCUUUGCAGACAAUUUGCCAGUUGGCUCCAGGAAAGCCUUCCUGGCCCUUAGCUCAGAGGUGCAAGCAAUAGCCAAAACACCUCUGCUUUAGAUGUGGCAGCGCUGCCUCACAAGCCGUGGGCAUGGCACGGUCACGAAACAUUGCUCCUGGCUCCAGGGGUCCUGAUUCCUGAGGGAUGUGAUUAGCACUGAGGAGAGCCGUCCUUUCAAGAGAUUGCAAAAGAGAUUUUGUGCUAUAUACCUGGAAGCAGUUGAAUGCAUCCUUCCUUUGUUCGGUGUGUGCACACCUGCUCCUCAGUGAAAGCAUAGGCACCAGGUCUUUUCCAGUGAGAGAGACCUGCACCGAUUCUCUACUCCUACUCUAUUUAUUGGCAGUCCGCAAAGCUAAUAUGAAUCCUGGCACAUGAUGUACAGAGAAAACCAGUUACAGGGUUUGUACUGUUAGUUAACUGGUGGGAGAGGGAAGGGGAGAAGGAGAGCCGGAGAGAGCGAGCACGUGCACAGGCAUGCAGUCCUAAAAGUACCUGGGUCAAAUCACACUAAAACAUGUGUUACAGUUGUACCAGGAACGGCUGAAUUAAAGAAAGUAUAACCUUGUGUCUCUUUGUCUUUCCAAGCAUCCUCCAAUACCUUUUUAAUAGGGAUAAUCAUAGGAAGCGUGAUUCUCCUUCUGCUUAUCACCAUUGCAGUGUGUAGUAUUGCCUGUCGCUUUCGAAGGUCUGGUCAGAAAUCACAGACAAGCAAGAAAAAAAACGAUUCUUCUGCUAGUGUAGGCAAGGGCAGUCAAAAGUAAUCAGGAGCAAUUACGUCUUUGUGCACCAAAAAGGCCAGACCAGCAUUUUGCCAACUGCUGAGGUAGCGUUUCAUAAUUUCCAGCUCCGUGGGAUUCAUCAAAAGCCUUCUUAUAUCCUCAACCCUAUCAGCGUCUGUCUAUUUUUGUUCACCGGUUAAAAUCUUGAUUUUGCUUAAAUAAAUGUGUUUUCUCCUUGUUUCUGUGUUUCUUUUUGUA